Molecule: ribosomal RNA, 490 nt
Filed under: uncultured bacterium
Lineage: Bacteria
Description: partial 16S ribosomal RNA
Rfam family: Bacterial small subunit ribosomal RNA
Source: RNAcentral
AUUGAACGCUGGCGGCAGGCCUAACACAUGCAAGUCGAACGGUAACAGGAAGAAGCUUGCUUCUUUGCUGACGAGUGGCGGACGGGUGAGUAAUGUCUGGGAAACUGCCUGAUGGAGGGGGAUAACUACUGGAAACGGUAGCUAAUACCGCAUAACGUCGCAAGACCAAAGAGGGGGACCUUCGGGCCUCUUGCCAUCGGAUGUGCCCAGAUGGGAUUAGCUAGUAGGUGGGGUAACGGCUCACCUAGGCGACGAUCCCUAGCUGGUCUGAGAGGAUGACCAGCCACACUGGAACUGAGACACGGUCCAGACUCCUACGGGAGGCAGCAGUGGGGAAUAUUGCACAAUGGGCGCAAGCCUGAUGCAGCCAUGCAGCGUGUAUGAAGAAGGCCUUCGGGUUGUAAAGUACUUUCAGCGGGGAGGAAGGGAGUAAAGUUAAUACCUUUACUCAUUGACGUUACCCGCAGAAGAAGCACCGGCUAACUCCGUG